CCUCUACCUUUAUUCUUUUCCUCAUUUCUUUCUCCUGUGUGCAACAGAUGAAAGGAGAACUCCUGUUGAGAGGAAUAUGUUUACCUCCAUGUGACAAAGAGAUUGGAUGAAAAGCUGAAGCCCAAAAGCCUUCUCCCCUCUGUAACCAGGAGAGCUCCAGUUUAUGUACAGAGCAGAUAAAGGCACUGGACAAGGCACUGCCCUUUGUUGGCCUACUCUGAAUAUGUUUGCUGAUGUCAAGUGAUAGGACAGAUGAUGUGAAGAGGGUGACUAAGAAGUGAGUGGAAACCUUUUAGUGCACAUAUACAAAGGGGAUAAAACAAAGAGAUAGCAGUCCAGGAUGCAACAUCCUUUCUCCAUCAGAAACUUUUGUGCAAAAAAGGAAAUAUAGUCGUUGCCACCUGAGAAUAAAAAGUUUGCAGAAAAAUACAUUUCAUGGGACUCAAAGAAAUAAAACACAAUCAAGAACCUAAAUAAAGAUGUCUAGAUAACAGACUUUGAUUUUAAUUUGCCUUCUUUCAUAAAGACUUGGUAAAGCAUGCUUUAAAAAAAAAAACCUGCUGUUCAUUGUUGUUACUUUUUAGAGAUUCCCAUGGAAGCAGUAAGAGUGUACUUAGUUUUUUACACAUAGCUUCUCAAUUUUGGCUUUAUUUUUGUCAAAUAAAUCAUGAUGCAGUUUAAUAUGCCA
Molecule: long non-coding RNA, 688 nt
Filed under: Pogona vitticeps (central bearded dragon)
Lineage: Eukaryota; Metazoa; Chordata; Lepidosauria; Squamata; Agamidae
Description: lncRNA (ENSPVIG00000022395.1)
Source: RNAcentral